GAGAUUGUACAGCCUGUGAGCACUAGGAUGGGCUGAGAUUGUACAGCCUGUGAGCACUAGGAUAGGCUGAGCUUAUUGUACAGCCUGUGAGCACUAGGAUAGGCUGAGAUUGUACAGCCUGUGAGCACUAGGAUAGGCUGAGAUUGUACAGCCUGUGAGCACUAGGAUAGGCUGAGAUUAUUGUAUAGCCUGUGAGCACUAGGAUAGGCUGGGGUUAUUGGACAGUCUGUGAGCACUAGGAUAGGCUGGGGAAAGACUUAUUAUAUAUAGUUGAUGAGCCCUGGAGCAUGCUGGGAUUUAAAACCAUUCAAAUUUUUCCGAUCUGUUGACAUUGUCUCGUAAAUGUGGGUACUAGACCUGUCUCCCCAUUUAUUGGCGUUGUUUCUUUUGCUUGUCUGUUUGUUCAGGGUUUUCAUAUGCAUGCACUGUGUCACAUGGGUAAAUGGUGAUUAACACUGACCUAAUGCUACAGAUAAUGACUAUAACACUAACAAUUCUCUC
Pelobates fuscus (common spadefoot toad) is the source of this 501-nucleotide long non-coding RNA. RefSeq lists it as uncharacterized. The record is from RefSeq and is a predicted model, not a curated record. Lineage: Eukaryota; Metazoa; Chordata; Amphibia; Anura; Pelobatidae. The transcript has 3 exons.